GGGGUUGUAGGACUGCAAUGUGGACUCAAAGAUUAUAGAAGAAUGAUUUGGGAAGAUCAGCCAAAGAGAGUAAUAGCCUCGUAUUUAAAAUAGUCUUUGUACCUAGCAGUAUCCUGAGUACGGCGGGACACGUGAAAUCCCGUCGGAAUCUGGGAGGACCAUCUCCCAACCCUAAAUACUCCCUAGUGACCGAUAGUGAACCAGUACCGUGAGGGAAAGGUGAAAAGCACCCCGGGAGGGGAGUGAAAUAGAACCUGAAACCGUGUGCCUACAACAAGUUCGAGCCCGUUAAUGGGUGAGAGCGUGCCUUUUGUAGAAUGAACCGGCGAGUUACGUUAUGAUGCGAGGUUAAGUUGAAGAGACGGAGCCGUAGGGAAACCGAGUCUGAACAGGGCGAAUUAGUAUCAUGACGUAGACCCGAAACCAUGUGACCUACCCAUGAGCAGGUUGAAGGUGCGGUAAGACGCACUGGAGGACCGAACCAGGGCACGUUGAAAAGUGCUUGGAUGACUUGUGGGUAGCGGAGAAAUUCCAAACGAACUUGGAGAUAGCUGGUUCUCUCCGAAAUAGCUUUAGGGCUAGCGUCGACAUUAGAGAUUCUUGGAGGUAGAGCACUGUUUGGGUGAGGGGUCCAUCCCGGAUUACCAAUCUCAGAUAAACUCCGAAUGCCAAUGAAUUAUGGUCGGCAGUCAGACUGCGAGUGCUAAGAUCCGUAGUCGAAAGGGAAACAGCCCAGACCACCAGCUAAGGUCCCAAAAUAAUUGUUAAGUGGAAAAGGAUGUGGGGUUGCACAGACAACUAGGAUGUUAGCUUAGAAGCAGCUAUUCAUUCAAAGAGUGCGUAAUAGCUCACUAGUCGAGUGACCCUGCGCCGAAAAUGUACCGGGGCUAAAACAAUUUACCGAAGCUGUGGAUACCUUUAUAGGUAUGGUAGGAGAGCGUUCUAUGUGUGAUGAAGGUAUACCGUGAGGAGUGCUGGAACGCAUAGAAGUGAGAAUGCCGGUAUGAGUAGCGAAAGACAGGUGAGAAUCCUGUCCACCGUAAGACUAAGGUUUCCAGGGGAAGGCUCGUCCGCCCUGGGUUAGUCGGGACCUAAGGAGAGACCGAAAGGUGUAUCCGAUGGACAACAGGUUGAUAUUCCUGUACUAGAGUAUGUAGUGAUGGAGGGACGCAGUAGGCUAACUAAAGCAGACGAUUGGAAGAGUCUGUCUAAGCAGUGAGGUGUGAAUUGAGUCAAAUGCUUAAUUCUAUAACAUUGAGCUGUGAUGGGGAGCGAAGUUUAGUAGCGAAGUUAGUGACGUCACACUGCCAAGAAAAGCUUCUAGCGUUUAAACAUACUCUACCCGUACCGCAAACCGACACAGGUAGUCGAGGCGAGUAGCCUCAGGUGAGCGAGAGAACUCUCGUUAAGGAACUCGGCAAAAUGACCCCGUAACUUCGGGAGAAGGGGUGCUGACUUUAGGUCAGCCGCAGUGAAUAGGCCCAAGCAACUGUUUAUCAAAAACACAGCUCUCUGCUAAAUCGUAAGAUGAUGUAUAGGGGGUGACGCCUGCCCGGUGCUGGAAGGUUAAGAGGAGUGCUUAGCGUAAGCGAAGGUAUGAAUUGAAGCCCCAGUAAACGGCGGCCGUAACUAUAACGGUCCUAAGGUAGCGAAAUUCCUUGUCGGGUAAGUUCCGACCCGCACGAAAGGCGUAAUGAUUUGGGCACUGUCUCAACGAGAGACUCGGUGAAAUUUUAGUACCUGUGAAGAUGCAGGUUACCCGCGACAGGACGGAAAGACCCCAUGGAGCUUUACUGCAGUUUGAUAUUGAGUGUCUGUACCACAUGUACAGGAUAGGUAGGAGUCUAAGAGAUCGGGACGCCAGUUUCGAAGGAGACGCUGUUGGGAUACUACCCUUGUGUUAUGGCCACUCUAACCCAGAUAGGUGAUCCCUAUCGGAGACAGUGUCUGACGGGCAGUUUGACUGGGGCGGUCGCCUCCUAAAAGGUAACGGAGGCGCCCAAAGGUUCCCUCAGAAUGGUUGGAAAUCAUUCGCAGAGUGUAAAGGUAUAAGGGAGCUUGACUGCGAGAGCUACAACUCGAGCAGGGACGAAAGUCGGGCUUAGUGAUCCGGUGGUUCCGUAUGGAAGGGCCAUCGCUCAACGGAUAAAAGCUACCCUGGGGAUAACAGGCUUAUCUCCCCCAAGAGUUCACAUCGACGGGGAGGUUUGGCACCUCGAUGUCGGCUCGUCGCAUCCUGGGGCUGUAGUCGGUCCCAAGGGUUGGGCUGUUCGCCCAUUAAAGCGGCACGCGAGCUGGGUUCAGAACGUCGUGAGACAGUUCGGUCCCUAUCCGUCGCGGGCGUAGGAAAUUUGAGAGGAUCUGCUCCUAGUACGAGAGGACCAGAGUGGACUUACCGCUGGUGUACCAGUUGUCUUGCCAAAGGCAUCGCUGGGUAGCUAUGUAGGGAAGGGAUAAACGCUGAAAGCAUCUAAGUGUGAAACCCACCUCAAGAUGAGAUUUCCCAUGAUUAUAUAUCAGUAAGAGCCCUGAGAGAUGAUCAGGUAGAUAGGUUAGAAGUGGAAGUGUGGCGACACAUGUAGCGGACUAAUACUAAUAGCUCGAGGACUUAUCCAA
This 2616-nucleotide ribosomal RNA is filed under the name Streptococcus pneumoniae GA58771. RNAcentral describes it as "bacterial LSU rRNA". It matches the Rfam family "Bacterial large subunit ribosomal RNA", at positions 294 to 2925 of the family's 2925-position model. Lineage: Bacteria; Bacillati; Bacillota; Bacilli; Lactobacillales; Streptococcaceae. The record is from RNAcentral.